UUGAUGGUCCUUUACUACUUGGAUAACCGUAGUAAUUCUAGAGCUAAUACAUGCAGCAAACCUUGACUUCGGAAAAGGUGUAUUUAUUAGAUAGAAACCAAUGCGGGGCAACCCGGAUCCUGGUGAUUCAUAAUAACUUUCGGAUCGAUUGCAAAAUCGAUGCAUCAUUCAAGUUUCUGCCCUAUCAGCUUUGGAUGGUAGGGUAUUGGCCUACCAUGGCUUUAACGGGUAACGGAGAAUUAGGGUUCGAUUCCGGAGAGGGAGCCUGAGAAACGGCUACCACAUCUAAGGAAGGCAGCAGGCGCGUAAAUUACCCAAUCCUGACACAGGGAGGUAGUGACAAUAAAUAACAAUGUUGGGCUUUUUAAGUCUGACAAUUGGAAUGAGAACAAUUUAAAUCCCUUAUCGAGGAUCAAUUGGAGGGCAAGUCUGGUGCCAGCAGCCGCGGUAAUUCCAGCUCCAAUAGCGUAUACUAAAGUUGUUGCAGUUAAAAAGCUCGUAGUUGGAUUUCUGGAGAUGAAUCUAGGUCCGUUCCUCACGGAAUGUGUACUUGGUAUUCAUUACCAUCUUUGGGAUUAAUAUAUCUGGCA
This 590-nucleotide ribosomal RNA is filed under the name uncultured eukaryote. RNAcentral describes it as "SSU rRNA". It matches the Rfam family "Eukaryotic small subunit ribosomal RNA", at positions 121 to 721 of the family's 1831-position model. The record is from RNAcentral.